Molecule: ribosomal RNA, 102 nt
Filed under: Varanus timorensis
Lineage: Eukaryota; Metazoa; Chordata; Lepidosauria; Squamata; Varanidae
Description: partial 16S ribosomal RNA
Source: RNAcentral
UACGAAAGGACAAAGAAAAUAGGACCCAUAGUUACAGCAAGUCCUCACCACCCACUAGAAACAAUAUUAAACCCACAGUACCCGAUUCCCCAAAAACAGGGC